Haliotis rufescens (red abalone) is the source of this 355-nucleotide long non-coding RNA. RefSeq lists it as uncharacterized. The transcript has 2 exons. Lineage: Eukaryota; Metazoa; Mollusca; Gastropoda; Lepetellida; Haliotidae. The record is from RefSeq and is a predicted model, not a curated record.
CAAAUAACUCAUAUAAUUCAUUCAGGUAAUUAUAUUUUCCCUAUGAGUGAAUUGUUGCAUGUUUGAGUGUUUGAUUGACUGAUUUCAUAUAUGAGAGGAAGAAUAGUGUAUAUGUGAAUGUAAGUACGAAUGUGAUUUUAGCCUAAGUUGUUUUGAUGUGUUCCAGGUGUUGGUAAUGAUAAUAUAUAUGUUGAUUUGUAGUUACUGUAGAAUUAAUGUUGCAUAUUGUUUACACGGAUUUUAGGUACGCUUGGUAUAUCUGGCUUGGAGGAGCUUGGUGAACGUCGUGUGCACCCUAGUGCCAUACACCGGGGUGUGUUUAAUUGACCGGGAAUAAAACGUUCUCACCCCGUAA